CAGUAGCCGCGGUAAUACGAAGGGGGCUAGCGUUGCUCGGAAUGACUGGGCGUAAAGGGCGCGUAGGCGGUUUGUACAGUUGGAUGUGAAAUUCCUGGGCUUAACCUGGGGGCUGCAUUCAAUACGUGCAGGCUUGAGUGUGGAAGAGGGUCGUGGAAUUCCCAGUGUAGAGGUGAAAUUCGUAGAUAUUGGGAAGAACACCGGUGGCGAAGGCGGCGACCUGGUCCAUUACUGACGCUGAGGCGCGAAAGCGUGGGGAGCAAACAGGAUUAGAUACCCGCGUAGUCCCUGUCUCUUAUAC
RNAcentral lists this ribosomal RNA (301 nucleotides) under uncultured bacterium. RNAcentral describes it as "partial 16S ribosomal RNA". It matches the Rfam family "Bacterial small subunit ribosomal RNA", at positions 509 to 807 of the family's 1533-position model. The record is from RNAcentral.